GGUUAAGUUAGAAAGGGCGCACGGUGGAUGCCUUGGCACUAGGAGCCGAAGAAGGACGGGACUAACACCGAUAUGCUUUGGGGAGCUGUACGUAAGCGUUGAUCCAGAGAUUUCCGAAUGGGGGAACCCACUAUCUUUAGUCGGAUAGUAUCCUUACGUGAAUACAUAGCGUGAGGAAGGCAGACCCAGGGAACUGAAACAUCUAAGUACCUGGAGGAAGAGAAAGAAAAAUCGAUUUCCUGAGUAGCGGCGAGCGAAACGGAAAGAGCCCAAACCAAGAAGCUUGCUUCUUGGGGUUGUAGGACACUCUAUACGGAGUUACAAAAGAAAGUUAUAAAUGAAGCGGUCUGGAAAGGCCCGCCAAAGACGGUAACAGCCCGGUAGUUGAAAUGGCUUUCCCUCCAGAGUGGAUCCUGAGUACGGCGGAACACGUGAAAUUCCGUCGGAAUCCGGGAGGACCAUCUCCCAAGGCUAAAUACUCCCUAGUGACCGAUAGUGAACCAGUACCGUGAGGGAAAGGUGAAAAGCACCCCGGAAGGGGAGUGAAACAGUUCCUGAAACCGUGUGCCUACAAGUAGUUAGAGCCCGUUAAUGGGUGAUAGCGUGCCUUUUGUAGAAUGAACCGGCGAGUUACGAUUUGUUGCAAGGUUAAGCGGAAAAAGCGGAGCCGUAGCGAAAGCGAGUCUGAAUAGGGCGCAUAAGUAACAGGUCGUAGACCCGAAACCAGGUGAUCUACCCAUGUCCAGGAUGAAGGUAAGGUAAUACUUACUGGAGGUCCGAACCCACGCACGUUGA
Molecule: ribosomal RNA, 795 nt
Filed under: Listeria monocytogenes
Lineage: Bacteria; Bacillati; Bacillota; Bacilli; Caryophanales; Listeriaceae
Description: partial 23S ribosomal RNA
Rfam family: Bacterial large subunit ribosomal RNA
Source: RNAcentral